UCAUUGCGUACACUUCCGACAUUUUAAAUAUAUACGAAUAUACAUUCCUGCUAGUAAUAUAUUCAAUUCAUACAUGCCUAAUCACUUACGUACCUCUAUAAACUUACUUAUGCCUCUUAUACUUAUCUUGCUCCAUUUUAUGCUUGCGCAUGCGCUCAUUGUAGCUCAUGAACAUUUUACAAUGAGUGAGAUUACAUUUUGGGACACUCUAUGGGCUACGGGACUGAUUUAGACGAAUUCUGCACACUUUAAUGAACCUGCAGCUGUCGCAUGGCCGUGCGUCCAACCGCACGACCGUGCGGUACCUACAACGUCGGGGGCACUGGCAGUGCACAAGCCCGUGCAUUGAUUUACUCGGAUAUCGCACGACCGUGCGCCACCAAUUCUUACGGUGACAGCCUACUGUCUUACGGCAGAGU
This 419-nucleotide long non-coding RNA is filed under the name Helianthus annuus (common sunflower). Lineage: Eukaryota; Viridiplantae; Streptophyta; Magnoliopsida; Asterales; Asteraceae. The record is from RNAcentral.